This 570-nucleotide long non-coding RNA is filed under the name Homo sapiens (human). RNAcentral's name for it is "non-protein coding lnc-NAA35-6:7". Lineage: Eukaryota; Metazoa; Chordata; Mammalia; Primates; Hominidae. The record is from RNAcentral.
UUUGACCUUUGUUUGAGGGGAGCAUUUUCCAGUGAUUGGCUAUUUUAAGAGUGCCAAUCUAAUAACCCCUUUAAAAGCACUUAGAGUAAUAGGAUAAAAUUAGACUUUUAAAAUAUCACUUUUUUUGUUGUUGGGUAGGGGAAUCACUUGCAAGGUCCACACAAGUCCGCCUAUGUACUCUCUGGAUCGAAUAUUUGCUGGAUUUCGAACACAAAGUCAGAUGCUGUUGGAUCACGUAGAAGAACGAGAUGAGGUCCUCCACUGCCAAUUUUCUGAUAACAGUGAUGAUGAAGAAUCAGAAGGCCAAGAGAAAUCUGGAACUAGAUGUAGAAGUCGUUCAUGGAUUCAGAAGCCAGACUCUGUUCCCUUGUUGAAUUGAGUGAUACUCAGGAUGAAACACAAAAGUCAGAUUCGGAGAAUGAAGAUUUAAAGAUUGAUUGUCUCCAGGAGAGUCAAGAAUUGAAUUUGCAAAAAUUAAAGAAUUCAGAACGCAUACUUACUGAAGCCAAACAAAAAAUGAGAGAACUUACAGUUAACAUCAAGAUGAAGGAAGAUCUGAUUAAAGAAUUA